RNAcentral lists this transfer RNA (69 nucleotides) under Rattus norvegicus (Norway rat). It matches the Rfam family "tRNA". Rfam says of the family: Transfer RNA (tRNA) molecules are approximately 80 nucleotides in length. Their secondary structure includes four short double-helical elements and three loops (D, anti-codon, and T loops). The record is from Rfam by way of RNAcentral. Lineage: Eukaryota; Metazoa; Chordata; Mammalia; Rodentia; Muridae.
GGGGAUUUAGCUCAGCGGUAGAGCGUUUGCCUAGCAAGCGAAAGGCCCUGGGUUCGAUCCCCAGCUCCG